UUGUAAUGUUUAUUUGGAAAUUU
RNAcentral lists this small nuclear RNA (23 nucleotides) under Arabidopsis thaliana (thale cress). RNAcentral's name for it is "snRNA_10536". Lineage: Eukaryota; Viridiplantae; Streptophyta; Magnoliopsida; Brassicales; Brassicaceae. The record is from RNAcentral.